UCAGGCUAAUGGAUCUUGAAGAGCAUUCUAGAACAGAGCAAAGUGACUUUGAAUUGCUCAAGAAGGCUCUUACCAUUGAUAACCAGAAAGAUAACAAACAAAUGACAAAUGAUUCAGAGGAAACAAAGUUGAUGACUAGAAACAAAUGGUCUGCUAUAGUAUAUAGGCGAGGUCAGAA
Cicer arietinum (chickpea) is the source of this 178-nucleotide non-coding RNA. Lineage: Eukaryota; Viridiplantae; Streptophyta; Magnoliopsida; Fabales; Fabaceae. The record is from RefSeq and is a predicted model, not a curated record.